Molecule: ribosomal RNA, 274 nt
Filed under: uncultured bacterium
Lineage: Bacteria
Description: partial 16S ribosomal RNA
Rfam family: Bacterial small subunit ribosomal RNA
Source: RNAcentral
AUACGGAGGGUGCGAGCGUUAAUCGGAAUUACUGGGCGUAAAGCGCGCGUAGGCGGUUUGGUCAGUCGGAUGUGAAAGCCCCAGGCUCAACCUGGGAAUGGCAUUCGAUACUGCCUGACUAGAGUAUGGUAGAGGGAAGUGGAAUUUCCGGUGUAGCGGUGAAAUGCGUAGAUAUCGGAAGGAACACCAGUGGCGAAGGCGACUUCCUGGGCCAAUACUGACGCUGAGGUGCGAAAGCGUGGGGAGCAAACAGGAUUAGAAACCCGAGUAGUCC